Passer domesticus (house sparrow) is the source of this 673-nucleotide long non-coding RNA. RefSeq lists it as uncharacterized. NCBI's taxonomy places the organism in Eukaryota, Metazoa, Chordata, Aves, Passeriformes, Passeridae. The record is from RefSeq and is a predicted model, not a curated record. The transcript has 3 exons.
AACCCCAGGAGCUAAACCCCAGUGGAAGGACAGGUGUGGCAGACAAGGAAGACUGGGGGCAGAAUUCGGAUGGAUGUGUGGGACAUGCACUGCUGAUUCACAGAUUGCUGUCAGCAGCAGUGGAGGAAUGUGAAACUCCAUAGAGAACAGGUCAAGAUAUGAGGCUCAUGGUCCAAGAGCACUCACACCACCCAGGAGAACAGGCUAGACAGCUCAUGGUCUUGGAUCCGGAAUCUACACAAAAACCCCCAUGUACCUACACCCGACUUGAAACCCACGGACGGGAGUUGCAGGUGCUGAGAACUUAAAAACAGCGAGGGAAAGCCGAAUCAAAGCUCUCUGGAAACGGCACUCACUGACUGCCCUUUACCUCCAGUGAAGUUCACAGAACCCCACAGGGCUGCAUUACAGGCAAUACUUAACUCUAAUUACUGUUGUGCAAAAAGAACUCAGGUGCGGGUUAUGGCAUAAGCCGCCCAGUCAGUCUGAAAAGUAAUUAGGGCAGAUGUUCAUUAGGAACUUCCUAAUGAAUCUGUUAACUUCGUUACCUGACUCCAGUAAACUUUCUUACAGGUACACAAGGCAAUUUACUAGAAAGCGCGCGGGGAGACGCAGCGAGCAGCAGCCGGGGAAGAGAACAGGGGGGUAAAAAAUAAAUAAAUUCAGCAAAAAG